AUUGAACGCUGGCGGCAUGCCUUACACAUGCAAGUCGAACGGUAACAGGUUAAGCUGCCGAGUGGCGAACGGGUGAGUAAUGUAUCGGAACGUGCCCAGUCGUGGGGGAUAACUGCUCGAAAGAGCAGCUAAUACCGCAUACGACCUGAGGGUGAAAGCGGGGGAUCGCAAGACCUCGCGCGAUUGGAGCGGCCGAUAUCAGAUUAGGUAGUUGGUGAGGUAAAGGCUCACCAAGCCGACGAUCUGUAGCUGGCCUGAGAGGACGACCAGCCACACUGGGACUGAGACACGGCCCAGACUCCUACGGGAGGCAGCAGUGGGGAAUUUUGGACAAUGGGCGCAAGCCUGAUCCAGCCAUGCCGCGUGCGGGAAGAAGGCCUUCGGGUUGUAAACCGCUUUUGUCAGGGAAGAAAAGGUUCUGGCUAAUACCUGGGACUCAUGACGGUACCUGAAGAAUAAGCACCGGCUAACUACGUG
Molecule: ribosomal RNA, 477 nt
Filed under: uncultured bacterium
Lineage: Bacteria
Description: partial 16S ribosomal RNA
Rfam family: Bacterial small subunit ribosomal RNA
Source: RNAcentral